AGGUGGAGAUGACCAUCCUGAUUCUGGUUUCAAUCCAUACUAGUCUUUCUAUAUGUACAGAUAAUGUAGAAAACCUGGUAUGGAUUGUUACCAGGUUCAGAUUAUAUACUU
This is a non-coding RNA of Ornithorhynchus anatinus (platypus), 111 nucleotides long. RefSeq annotates it as microRNA mir-1422c. The transcript has a single exon. The record is from RefSeq and is marked provisional. Lineage: Eukaryota; Metazoa; Chordata; Mammalia; Monotremata; Ornithorhynchidae.